RNAcentral lists this long non-coding RNA (413 nucleotides) under Helianthus annuus (common sunflower). RNAcentral describes it as "hypothetical non coding rna". The record is from RNAcentral. Lineage: Eukaryota; Viridiplantae; Streptophyta; Magnoliopsida; Asterales; Asteraceae.
UUAUAACCUAGUUAACUACAAGUCUAAAAAUAACUUAAAUAGGAUUAAAACAACAAAACCUUAUGUUAAACAAAAGUGAGAGACUAAUAUUGUCAAAACUUAAACUUAUAUUACUAAAUUAGUGAAAACAAAACCAAACACCCCAUAAUUGAGGUGUCUCGUCGUACAAGAAGCAGGAGGGCGACAAGGGUUCUUCACCAAACCCUAACUCUCACAAAAAUUGAUCAAUUGAAGGAUCAAAUCAAGUCCAAACCGAAAAUCGAGCAUAGAUUAAUGAUCCCCAUUGCAAGGAGAUCAUAAGAAAAAUUGCCAAUUGGAAUUACGUCAAUCGGAUAAACGAGGAAUUUUUAAUGAAUUUUUCCUUUGACGCCUAACGAGCUAGAUGGAAGCUUGUGGAUGAAGCGGGUCAAACG